GAUGAACGCUGGCGGCGUGCCUAAUACAUGCAAGUCGAGCGAACAGAUGAGGAGCUUGCUCCUCUGACGUUAGCGGCGGACGGGUGAGUCACACGUGGAUAACCUACCUAUAAGACUGGGAUAACUUCGGGAAACCGGAGCUACUACCGGAUAAUAUAUUGAACCGCAUGGUUCAAUAGUGAAAGACGGUUUUGCUGUCACUUAUAGAUGGAUCCGCGCCGCAUUAGCUAGUUGGUAAGGUAACGGCUUACCAAGGCAACGAUGCUUAGCCGACCUGAGAGGGUGAUCGGCCACACGGGAACUGAGACACGUUCCAGACUCCUACGGUAGGCAGCAGUAGGGAAUCUUCCGCAAGGGGCGAAAGCCUGACGGAGCAACGCCGCGUGAGUGAUGAAGGUCUUCGGAUCGUAAAACGCUGUUAGUAGGGAAGAACAAAUGUGUAAGUAACUAUGCACGUCUUGACGGUACCUAAUCAGAAAGCCACGGCUAACUACGUG
RNAcentral lists this ribosomal RNA (497 nucleotides) under uncultured bacterium. RNAcentral describes it as "partial 16S ribosomal RNA". It matches the Rfam family "Bacterial small subunit ribosomal RNA", at positions 28 to 507 of the family's 1533-position model. The record is from RNAcentral.